Molecule: long non-coding RNA, 1129 nt
Organism: Manduca sexta (tobacco hornworm)
Lineage: Eukaryota; Metazoa; Arthropoda; Insecta; Lepidoptera; Sphingidae
Exons: 2
Source: RefSeq, a predicted model, not a curated record
AGUCAAAAACUACUAGCUGCAAAUCACGACAAGAUAAAAGUAAAGUAGUCGUAUCAAAAAUGCUUAUCAUUAUCGAUUGACGGGGUGAUCGACCUUAUAUUAAAGCUCAUAUACAAACAAUUCAUUCUAUUAUCGUUUUAUUGCAGUGUUUAAAUGUACAUUUAAAAGCGCGUAGUGUUGCGUAUGACAAACUCAUAUUCCUAGUCGUAUAAUAUUCUUAGUAUACAUUCUUUACUUUGAAAUUUUAUUUAUGUGGUCUAGACUAAGUGAUUAUUUUAUAAAAAUAGAAUUAUAAAAAAUGCUUGUCAUCCAAAAUGUAACGCGAGAAAGGAUUUCCAAAAUCUACGCAAUAGUAAAUAACUUAUAAUGUUUUGAAAUUUUGAGAAAGAAGUACCUGUCAAAUAACAGUAAUAGCAAACUAUGACGUCACUGAGUAACACCUGCCAUGACGUUGAAAGAUAUAGGGCGAUUACUCCAUCACACCCCAAUUUCAGUCAAAACAUUUUUUUAAAAUAUGCUGAUUUCAAUGAAGAAUUUAUAUUUUGUAUUGUUUUAUAUUACAAUAAAAUAAUGUACAAUAUCAUAAGAGCAUAGCAUAGGAGACUAGCCUAUAUGUAUAUAUAUGGGCUAAGUAGGUAUUCAUUUGCGUAACAAGCGGACCUAUAUAUUAUUACUUACUAUACGAGUAGUGAGAUUUUUAAAUAUUUGUUAUGUUGUAUCUAUUUUAUCAAAAUAUGAAGAAAGCAGAAAAGUAGAUUUGUUUCUUAAUGACGCGUAUCCCCAUGCAAACAAAAUACCUACUUGUAUAAUUUAUGAUAUGAUAUAUUUUCAAGUACGUUGUCGUAGAAAGUAAUACCUACUUACUUAUUUGAUAGAAUUUUUACGUCUUGAAUUUUAGAGCGUUGAAAUUACAGGUCGUGGAUGGCGGAAAUUCAGUGUUAUUAGCCGGCGUGGUAGACUCCCCCACGUACAUAUUAACGAGCCAGGCCGGACCGCUUGGGAAGGAUUCCGCACCGCUACCAACGCCGCUGCUGCUGGCGGUAUCACCACCAUCGUUGAUAUGCCAUUAAAUUCAAUUCCCCCAACUACAACUCUAGAAAACCUUAAAAUCAAGGCAGCCGCUACAAAA